UGGUCCAAAGGUAGUGAGUUAUCUCAGUUGAUUGUUCACAGUCAGUUACAGAUCAAACUCCUUGUUCUACUCUUUCCCCUCUUCUCAUUACUGCUCUUGUCUAAAAACUUUU
This is an unclassified non-coding RNA of Pan paniscus (pygmy chimpanzee), 112 nucleotides long. It matches the Rfam family "Y RNA". Rfam says of the family: Y RNAs are components of the Ro ribonucleoprotein particle (Ro RNP), in association with Ro60 and La proteins. The Y RNAs and Ro60 and La proteins are well conserved, but the function of the Ro RNP is not known. The record is from Ensembl. NCBI's taxonomy places the organism in Eukaryota, Metazoa, Chordata, Mammalia, Primates, Hominidae.